RNAcentral lists this ribosomal RNA (422 nucleotides) under uncultured bacterium. Its description in RNAcentral is "bacterial SSU rRNA". It matches the Rfam family "Bacterial small subunit ribosomal RNA", at positions 355 to 774 of the family's 1533-position model. The record is from RNAcentral.
UGAGGAAUAUUGGACAAUGGGCGCAAGCCUGAUCCAGCCAUGCCGCGUGCAGGAAGAAGCAUCUAUGGUGUGUAAACUGCUUUUGUACGGGAAGAAACAUUCCUUCGUGAAGGAGCUUGACGGUACCGUAAGAAUAAGGAUCGGCUAACUCCGUGCCAGCAGCCGCGGUAAUACGGAGGAUCCAAGCGUUAUCCGGAAUCAGUGGGUUUAAAGGGUCUGUAGGCGGUUUAGUAGGUCAGUGGUGAAAGCCCAUCGCUCAACGAUGGAACGGCCAUUGAUACUGCUAGCCUUGAAUUAUUAGGAAGUAACUAGAAUAUGUAGUGUAGCGGUGAAAUGCUUAGAUAUUACAUGGAAUACCAAUUGCGAAGGCAGGUUACUACUAAUGGAUUGACGCUGAUGGACGAAAGCGUGGGGAGCGAACA